UCUAAUACCGAAUAUGACCAUGCGCCUCCUGGUGUGUGGUGGAAAGCUUUUGCUGGUGUGGGAUGGGCCCGCGGCCUAUCAGCUUGUUGGUGGGGUAAUGGCCUACCAAGGCGACGACUGUGGUAGCCGGCCUGAGAGGGUGACCGGCCACACUGGGACUGAGAUACGGCCCAGACUCCUACGGGAGGCAGCAGUGGGGAAUAUUGCACAAUGGGCGCAAGCCUGAUGCAGCGACGCCGCGUGAGGGAUGACGGCCUUCGGGUUGUAAACCUCUUUCAGCACAGACGAAGCGCAAGUGACGGUAUGUGCAGAAGAAGGACCGGCCAACUACGUGCCAGCAGCCGCGGUAAUACGUAGGGUCCGAGCGUUGUCCGGAAUUACUGGGCGUAAAGAGCUCGUAGGUGGUUUGUCGCGUUGUUCGUGAAAACUCACAGCUUAACUGUGGGCGUGCGGGCGAUACGGGCAGACUUGAGUACUGCAGGGGAGACUGGAAUUCCUGGUGUAGCGGUGGAAUGCGCAGAUAUCAGGAGGAACACCGGUGGCGAAGGCGGGUCUCUGGGCAGUAACUGACGCUGAGGAGCGAAAGCGUGGGGAGCGAACAGGAUUAGAUACCCUGGUAGUCCACGCCGUAAACGGUGGGUACUAGGUGUGGGUUUCCUUCCUUGGGAUCCGUGCCGUAGCUAACGCAUUAAGUACCCCGCCUGGGGAGUACGGCCGCAAGGCUAAAACUCAAAGAAAUUGAGCGGGGGCCCGCACCAAGCGGCGGAGCAUGUGGAUUAAUUCGAUGCAAACGCGAAGAACCUUAUCCUG
RNAcentral lists this ribosomal RNA (810 nucleotides) under Mycobacterium sp. FL04-58-70A. RNAcentral's name for it is "bacterial SSU rRNA". It matches the Rfam family "Bacterial small subunit ribosomal RNA", at positions 162 to 978 of the family's 1533-position model. Lineage: Bacteria; Bacillati; Actinomycetota; Actinomycetes; Mycobacteriales; Mycobacteriaceae. The record is from RNAcentral.